RNAcentral lists this ribosomal RNA (440 nucleotides) under uncultured bacterium. RNAcentral's name for it is "partial 16S ribosomal RNA". It matches the Rfam family "Bacterial small subunit ribosomal RNA", at positions 338 to 795 of the family's 1533-position model. The record is from RNAcentral.
CCUACGGGAGGCAGCAGUGGGGAAUAUUGCACAAUGGGGGGAACCCUGAUGCAGCGACGCCGCGUGAGUGAAGAAGUAUUUCGGUAUGUAAAGCUCUAUCAGCAGGGAAGAAAAUGACGGUACCUGACUAAGAAGCCCCGGCUAACUACGUGCCAGCAGCCGCGGUAAUACGUAGGGUGCAAGCUUUAUCCGGAUUUACUGGGUGUAAAGGGAGCGUAGACGGCUAUGCAAGUCUGAAGUGAAAGCCAAAGGCUCAACCAUGGGACUGCUUUGGAAACUGUAAAACUGGAGUGCAGGGGAGGUAAGCGGAAUUCCUAGUGUAGCGGUGAAAGGCGUAGAUAUUAGGAGGAACAACAGUGGCGAAGGCGGCUUACUGGACUGUAACUGACGUUGAGGCUCGAAGGCGUGGGGAGCAAACAGGAUUAGAUACCCGGGUAGUC